CCGGCCGCCGCUGCCGCCAGCCCAUCGCAAAGUGCCGGAGCCGCGCCGCGCCGAGCCGCCGCCGCAGCCCGCGCUGGGCUCCCCGCGCCGCCGGGGAGCAGGAGGCGGCGGCGACCCGCCGAGGAGCUGCCGGCCGCUCUCCGGGGCUGGGCGAAGCCGCUCGGCAGAUUUGGAUGAAUCAAGAGUGCAAUUUCUUCAAGGAAUGUAUUCCAGUAAUUGAGAAUGAAGUAUUUUCUGUCCAAAACCACCUCAAGCCCUCUCCAACUGAUGCGACAGCCAAGUUUUGUGUUCCUUCUGGCAGCCAAGCCCCUGUAGGUGGCUGCAGCACAAUCCUCAAGGCCCUUCUGGUUUUGCAGUCACAGCAUUUGGGAUUAUGUUUAUGGAAUCUGCCAUAAUCCCCUCCAUCUGACURCUGGGUUAUUACAGCCGAGGAGCAGUGGCUUACUGAGUGCCAUAAACUUUCACCUGGCAGGGAGGAUGGCAGUUUGAAUCCUAGGUAAUUUAUUAGUGAAUUUGUUUCAGCAUGAAAAGUGUCAGUUGUUAUUUCAGAGUGAGUGUAGGUAGCUUGGCAAAAAUGUUGAAAUUUAAUUAAUUAUGCAAAUUAGAGGUAAGUAAAGAUGUUUGGCCCACUGCUCUGAUURUGUAAUAGGUAUAGAAAUAUAAAUGUUCUGUGCAAGACAGCAAGACAUAUGACACAAAGAUUUAGAGUGCAAAGACCUAAAAUGCUAAUCCUUCCUUUGAUGUUUAUAUUGCUUAGCUGGAAAGGGAGGAAAUGCAUUUUUCAUUCUUUGAUGCUGUGGAAGGGAAAGGCCUUUAUAAGCCAUAUAUAAUCCAUAUUUAUAUACUCUCUGCAGUGCUUGGAAGCUUUAUUCAAUAUAAGCAGAAGCUGUAAUAAGAAAAAUAAACCCAAAAUAUCAAUAAAUAGCAGAUGCACACUGUAUUUGGGUAUAAAUAAAUUAUGUGAGUCAUAAUGAUUGCAACAGCAGGUGGUGGUGUAGUUCAAGACUCUGUGUGAUUUCUUGCUUUUUUCCUCAUACUCCAAAGAAGAAGGUUUGAGACCCCUAAUGCCUGUUGCAAUUUUUAGCUCUGCACCUUCAACUGGUGAGCAAACUAGCAGCAUCUAUUGAAUUUGAUUAGUUCUGCAAAAAAAACAUACAGCAAAUGGGCUGGCCAUCACUUGUGAGUGCUAAAGCUGUUGCUAUGACUAAUUUAUGAACAUCCAUCCUAUUUSUCUUUUCCUCUUUCUUCCUGUCUCAUACAUCCUAUUUUAAUUAAGUCUCAGAUAGAGAGUUUGCUGGGGUAGAGAAUUUCCUUGUUACGUUGUUUUCAAAGUUUUUUACAGUGGAGYUCUAAGGUGUAAUUGGAAAAUGAUAAAGAUUUUGAAAUUACCAGUCAACUAUGUAACUGCCAUUAGACUUGAUUAUAAAAACAUAAAUUGUACAGAAGCAGUUCAGGUGAGAUUGAACUUCAGYGUGUUUUCCCUUUCUUAAUAAUAAUCAGCAAGUUUCAAAUAUUUUGCCUUAGAGAACAGAAUUUCAAAGUCCUGACUAUUUGCAGUAUAGUCCUUCACAGAUGAAUAUGCUCUUUGGAGCAUGACAGCAUUUAAUUUUAAAUUUUUCCGGAGAUGGAACACAAAACUACUAAAUAUUUAAGCAGAUGUCUAAUUUUUUUUACUGAACCAUAAACACUAAUAAUUUUGGACAGUAACACCUUUUGUUGGUCCAGGAGACUGGUAUCAAACAAGUCCUACACAUAUAGGAGAAGAGGACUUUCCUCCAUGUUUCUGUACUGCAUUUCUCUGAACAGAAUAGAUCCCUAUUUACUGUGAAGGUCAUGUUUGUAUAAGAGCUACUCUCAKCCUCUCUUUAUAAUUAUUGGAAGCAAUUGCACUACCACAUAAUUUGAUGUAGGUGAAGAGGUGAAAAAYCCCAAGAAUAGAAAUAAUUU
Malurus melanocephalus (red-backed fairy wren) is the source of this 1947-nucleotide long non-coding RNA. RefSeq lists it as uncharacterized. The transcript has 3 exons. NCBI's taxonomy places the organism in Eukaryota, Metazoa, Chordata, Aves, Passeriformes, Maluridae. The record is from RefSeq and is a predicted model, not a curated record.